UUUUUUGUUUUUUUAAAUACUUUUAAACUUUUAAAUUUUUUUUAAAAAAAAACUUCAAAUAUCGUCGUGUGAUUUCGCGCUAUUUCACUUUAGUAUCCUAUGAUUUAAAGUGUAUAACUUUAGUACGAUAUAAUUUUAUUUUUAUUUUUUUAUUAUCAAUUACACUAAUUUUUUUCAUUAAAUCAGUGUCAAAAUUAAAACUAAAGGGUACUAAAGUGAAUAUUCGAUCAAUCUAGAUAGGGUAUCUGAAGUUUUUUGUAUAUAAUUUAACGAAAUAUUAAGAAAAAAGCUGACAAAAAGAUAAAAAUAAAUCACAGGACACUAACUUGAUAUACUUUAAAUCACAGAAUACUAAAGUGAGAAACUGCGAAACUACAUGGGUGAUAUUUGAAAUUUACCUUUUUUUUUAUUAUUAGUGUGCAUAUGUGUGUU
Molecule: long non-coding RNA, 432 nt
Filed under: Ananas comosus (pineapple)
Lineage: Eukaryota; Viridiplantae; Streptophyta; Magnoliopsida; Poales; Bromeliaceae
Description: long non-coding RNA (ACOM_LNC012622)
Source: RNAcentral